Molecule: long non-coding RNA, 1005 nt
Filed under: Lynx canadensis (Canada lynx)
Lineage: Eukaryota; Metazoa; Chordata; Mammalia; Carnivora; Felidae
Description: lncRNA (ENSLCNG00005015940.1)
Source: RNAcentral
UUGACAUUCAGGGAUGUGGCCAUAGAGUUCUCUCAGGAGGAGUGGGAGUGCCUGGACCCCGCUCAGAGGGCCUGGUACAGGGACGUGAUGUUGGAGAACUACAGGACCCUGGUCUCCCUGGGUGAGGAUAGUUUCCCUGCAGAGGUUGGGAACUGUUCUAGGCUACCUUUGUGUUUCUUUUGGGAGGCGCUUGAGAGUCCCUGCCCUGUUUGACUGAGAGUGAAGCCCUGUUGAUCCAGAAAUGAAAAGCUUCACAACGAGGUGUCUGGAUUUGAAGUGCCCCCUUUCUUCCGAUGAUGUGCUCACUACAUGCAGGUUAGUGGUGGCGCUAGAAGUUGGGAAGACACAAGACUUUAUGUCAAAACUUUAUAAUAUCAGAUUGCCUGGUUUUACUCCUGUACUCUUGAUUCAGUAGUUCUGGGAAGAGAGCUGGAUAUCUGUAUUUGUCAAACAUUCAAGCAUUUGGAAGAUGUAGGUCCGUCGCUGAACAAGUCUGUGAAAUGCUAUUCACAACCCGCCUGUGUUGAAUGUCCUUGGUCUCAGCUGUCCAGGGACUGGGAUUAGUUUAUGGAAAAGCUGCAGGGCAUCAUCUACCAGUUUCCAUGUCAGCAAGACCCUCUUUCUGAGCUGAAUAUCGUCUCCACUGUGGAGGAAGGAAGAGCCUUGCACGGCCAGGAGUGGGGUGAAACUAGCGGCAAAACCCAGAUAAGGCUACUAGAUGUGUGGGCAAAGAAUUACCACCAAAAGACUACAUUAAUAAUGGAGAAUUACUGCAAACGUUGACUUUUGAAAGAGACCUAAGUCAUGACUUUGAUGACUUUGAUUUGAAGAAAGACCAGCAAGAUGUGAACAAACUUGAGACUCCGUGGAUUUAUGAAGAAAAAUAUUAUGAAGGAAUAACUACAUCCCAUUAUAAAAAUCUCACCUGUAGAGAAGACCAACAACAUCCUAAAUUCUGGAAUAAUUUCCCUGUAAAGCACAGUGUUUCCAUAAGAAGAAGUACAU